AGUAACGGCGAGUGAAGCGGCAACAGCUCAAAUUUGAAAUCUGGAAUUUUUGGGGUCCGAGUUGUAAUUUGCAGAGGGUGCUUUGGUGUUGGCGGCGGUCUAAGUUCCUUGGAACAGGACAUCGCAGAGGGUGAGAAUCCCGUAUGUGGUCGCAUGCCUUCGCCGUGUAAAGCCCCUUCGACGAGUCGAGUUGUUUGGGAAUGCAGCUCUAAAUGGGAGGUAAAUUUCUUCUAAAGCUAAAUACCGGCCAGAGACCGAUAGCGCACAAGUAGAGUGAUCGAAAGAUGAAAAGCACUUUGGAAAGAGAGUCAAACAGCACGUGAAAUUGUUGAAAGGGAAGCGCUUGCAGCCAGACUUGCCUGUAGUUGCUCACCCGGGCUCCUGCCCGGGGCACUCUUCUGCAGGCAGGCCAGCAUCAGUUUGGGCGGUCGGAUAAAGGGCUCUGACACGUACUUCCCCUCGGGGUUGACAUACAGGGGAGCCGCAAUGCGACCAGCCCGGACUGAGGUCCGCGCAUCUGCUAGGAUGCUGGCGUAAUGGCUGUAAGCGGCCCGUCUUGAAACACGGACCAAGGAGUCUAACAUCUAUGCGAGUGUUUGGGUGUCAAGCCCGAGCGCGCAAUGAAAGUGAACGGAGGUGGGAGCCCCUCGGGGUGCACCAUCGACCGAUCCUGAUGUCUUC
Molecule: ribosomal RNA, 681 nt
Filed under: uncultured fungus
Lineage: Eukaryota; Fungi
Description: eukaryotic LSU rRNA
Rfam family: Eukaryotic large subunit ribosomal RNA
Source: RNAcentral